AUUCUUCAAAAUACCAUCUCUCAUUGGAAAUGCUAAAUGCUAUGAAGAGGAAAAGAAGGUGAUGAAAACUCGAGAUCGAGAUCGAGAGAGAGAGGAAUCAUCAAAUAAAAUAUCAAGUACAAGCAGUCGUGGUUUGUUGGCAUCCGAAAACAGAAGGCCGUGUCACUAUUGAUCCUAUCGCACAUUUUCACUACUAAACGCUCAUAUCAUCAGCUCCGAUCCAAUCCAAGUCCAAUGGACGAAACACCAUCUCGCAAGCAUCAGGUAUCUUUAAGAGGAGCAAGUGCAAGGGAGAUUUCAAGGGACGCGCUUCUCCAGAAAGUCUCUCACGAAAGAGAGCUACGCAAUUAUGCUAGACGCGCUACUGCUUCUGCUAUCUUUAUUCAGAGGGUUUGGAGACGCUUCAUUGUAACAAAGAAAGUAGCAGCCGAGCUUCAAUUAGAAUGGGAAGCAGAAGCAGCAUUGGUGAAGAAUGAUUUAACCGUAAUGAGCGGUAGCUGGAUUUCCACUCGCGUUUUGAGACCUUUCCUUUUCUUUGUUCACUGUUUAUCGACUCGGCAUCACAAGAUUCGCGAUGCAGAUAUACCCUGCCUCCACACGUGCUUCAAGCUUCUUCUUGAAAGCAUCAAUUCUACUGAUUUAGGCAACAACUUUUGCGCCCUGGCGCUGGGUACGCCAGAAGAGAGAAGAACGUGGACUUACCAAUCUCAGAAGCUCGUUUCUCUCUGCUCAAUUAUCCUUGCGAACUGUGAUAAAUCUCAUCAACGGGCUCAAGAUAUCCUGGUUCUUACCUCUCUUGCGAUGCGUCUUCUUGUUGUCUUAACUGAUCAGAAGUGUUGGAAAAGCAUUACCAACAAUAGUCCUAAGGAUGCAGAUGUAGCAUGGAAGGAUUUGGUCAGGUUUAUGGCAAGACCUAAAAGUGGCUUGUACUUAUCCAUUAGACGAUACAUUAGCAAUUUGGAUAUUCAUUUUUGUCCACAAACAAGCACACUGGCACAGACAGAUGAUAGAUUCUUGAUCACUGCAAGUGCAAUAACUUUAGCUCUAAGGCCUUUUAACGUGACAAAUUUUGAUUUUAUUGGCCCUGACGUGGUGGACAUCAAUUCUGCCCCUGCACAGUACUAUUUGUUUCUACUCACAAUUCCCUGGCUCACUCAACGUCUGCCAGCUGUUCUUCUACCCGCUCUGAAGCACAAGUCUAUUCUCUCACCAUGUUUCCAGACUCUACUGAUAUUGAGAGAUAAUAUUUUAAAGGAGAUGUCAGAGAUGGAUCAAUUGAAAAUCCUGCAUUCUUCCAAAGCAAUUCCGCCAGUUGCUUGGGCUCUUGCAAACACCAUUUGCCUAGUCACAGGGGAUGAGAAUGAUUAUGCGGAACCUGGAGGCCUCAAUCAAGGACUGGACUACGCAGUCUAUGUCCAUGUUGUGAUCAUUCUUGCUGAAAACUUGUUGUCAUGGCUUGAUGAUGGUGGAUGGACUGAAAAGGAGAACCAAUAUGCUCAGGUCAUUGCAGAAACAUCUGCUGAGCCCUUCGGUAAAGCUUUGUGCGAGAUUGAAACAACAUGUGCCUUAAAGAUGACAUAUGUGAGCUUACUCAGACCUGUUUGUCAGCAGUGGCAUCUUACAAAACUUUUGGCAAUGUCAAAGAUGGAUGCCAAUAUUAAUGGGGAUGAGACUUUGCCCACAAAAACUCUGAAAUACUCAGGAAAGUUGAACCUUCUUGGUAUUGCAUAUUUCUAUUCUUGCAUGCUCCGAAUAUUUGCAAUCUUGAAUCCUACAGUUGGGUCAUUGCCUGUUCUCAAUAUGCUGUCAUUUACUCCUGGGUUUCCUGUUACCCUAUGGGAAGCAUUGGAAAAUUUACUUUUUCCUGGACAUGGAGACAUUUCUGUGGUUAAUGAUUUUCACACAAGGAAAGUUUCAGCAAACAAAAAUGAUGGGUUUCUCAAGAAACAACAAAAACAACCCAGUAAGGAUGGAGGUAAUAAGUUGGUCAACGUACUCCAUAAACUUACAGGAAAGUCACAAGCAGGGGUAGAUCACGGAGAUUCAGUUAAUGGGAAUCCUAGUGCACAGGUUGGUGAUGAUUUGCAUGAUGCUUGGGAUGUAGAACUGUUAAGGUGUGGUCCACAAAAGAUUUCAAGAGAAAUGUCAUGUCUUCUUCAUUUGUUCUGUGGGACCUACUCACACCUGCUGUUAGUUCUUGAUGACAUAGAGUUCUAUGAAAAACAGGUUCCAUUUAUGUUGGAGCAACAACAAAGAAUUGCAUCAGUGCUUAACACCUUAGCAUACAAUGGCUUGGCCCAUAGUAUAAGUCAGCAGGAUAGGCCCCUUAUGGAUUCCGCGAUCAGAUGCUUGCAUUUAAUGUAUGAAAGAGAUUGCAGGCAUCAGUUCUGCCCCCCUGUUUUGUGGCUUUCACCUGCUAGAAAGAGCCGGGCUCCAAUUGCAGUUGCUGCCAGAACUCAUGAAGCUAUGUCAGCUAAUAUAAAAUCAGAUGAUGCUCUGACUGUUCCAAGCAUGGGUUCUGUAAUCACGGUGACUCCACAUGUAUAUCCAUUUGAAGAAAGGGUUCAAAUGUUUAGAGAGUUCAUAAACAUGGAUAAAGUCUCUAGAAAAAUGGCUGGUGAAUUUACAGGACCUGGUUCACGAGCUGUGGAGAUUGUAGUUCGUCGCAGUCAUAUUGUUGAAGAUGGAUUUCAGCAGCUUAAUUCUCUUGGGUCAAGGUUGAAGUCAUCCAUUCAUGUUUCAUUUGUUAGUGACUGUGGCCUUCCGGAGGCUGGUUUGGACUACGGUGGGCUAUCUAAAGAGUUUCUGACAGAUAUAUCAAAAUCUGCCUUUUCCCCUGAGCAUGGGCUAUUUUCACAAACCUCAACUUCGGAGAGACAUCUAAUUCCCAAUCCAACUGCAAAAUAUCUAGAGAAUGGUAUCCAGAUGAUUGAAUUUCUCGGAAGAGUUGUUGGGAAAGCUCUAUAUGAAGGAAUAUUACUAGAUUACUCUUUUUCACAUGUGUUUGUUCAAAAGCUGUUAGGCCGAUAUAGCUUUCUUGAUGAACUAUCAACACUUGAUCCAGAGCUGUACAGGAAUGUCUUGUAUGUGAAGCAUUAUGAUGGUGACGUCAAGGACCUCUCCCUUGACUUCACAGUCACUGAAGAAUUAUUUGGUAAACGGCAUGUCAUUGAGCUGAAACCUGGGGGCAAGGAUGUUUGUGUGUCAAAUGAGAACAAGAUGCAGUAUGUUCAUGCAAUGGCUGAUUAUAAACUCAAUCGACAGAUAUUGCCCUUUUCAAAUGCAUUUUAUAGAGGGCUAGCUGAUCUUAUAUCACCAUCUUGGUUGAAGUUGUUCAAUGCAAGUGAAUUUAAUCAGUUACUUUCAGGUGGUGACCUUGACAUUGAUGUUGAUGAUUUAAGAAAUUACACACGAUACACAGGUGGCUAUUCUGAGGGGAGUCGAACAAUUAAACUUUUUUGGGAGGUAAUUAAAGGAUUUGAACCAAAUGAACGCUGUAUGCUGCUUAAAUUUGUGACCAGCUGUUCUCGAGCUCCAUUACUUGGAUUCAAACACUUGCAGCCAUCCUUUACAAUCCAUAAGGUCUCAUGUGAUGCCUCUCUUUGGGCAACAAUUGGAGGACAAGAUGUGGAGCGGCUUCCAUCAGCUUCUACCUGCUACAAUACUCUCAAGCUUCCAACAUACAAACGUGCAAGCACUUUGAGAGCAAAAAUUCUUUAUGCAAUCAAUUCAAAUACUGGAUUUGAACUUUCUUAAGGAUCUCUUGAUCUUUGACUUGUUUUGGCUAAGAAGCACUACUGAAUAGCCCUGUUACUAGCUAACAAGGUUUCACAUGGCCAUGAGAAUACUUCAAUUGUUAAUUUCAUUCCAUAGUUUUUUGGGCCCUCCAAGAGGGGGAACCUUUUGAUUAUCGCUCGCCUCUUGAUCAUUUCCUAGAGUGUGGUAGAUAUCUAAGGCCACAGUUUGAGGCAAGGGAGUGCGUUGACCAGGGCCUCACAAUUGCUGUUAAUUUGUAGUUGAACAAACUAGUCUCAUGGUUUAGCCACUUAAACCACUGUUGCUUCCCGCAUGGGACAGGUUGUGAGCUUCACGCAAACACCUCUUUUUGGCUGCAUGGUUGUCGCUCCAAUCCUUCUUGCUCCAAGUUCUUCAAUAUUCAGUCUCUACACCUUGUUGGAAACAACUUUGUGCUUCAAAGAAGAUAAAGAAGAGGAUCGCAUUUGUCCAGGUAUUCAAAUCUCUCUAGUUGUGUGUACAUAUUUGAGAACAGCAUCAUGUAAUUAAUGCUUCUAGUUUAUUAUUCUGGAAUCUCCCAUCAUUGAAUAUAGAUAGAUUGAUUUGUGUUA
This is an RNA transcript of Populus nigra (black poplar), 4346 nucleotides long. It is a transcript of the gene named E3 ubiquitin-protein ligase UPL7, with no coding region annotated. NCBI's taxonomy places the organism in Eukaryota, Viridiplantae, Streptophyta, Magnoliopsida, Malpighiales, Salicaceae. The transcript is spliced from 16 exons. The record is from RefSeq and is a predicted model, not a curated record.